This is a non-coding RNA of Ailuropoda melanoleuca (giant panda), 73 nucleotides long. Lineage: Eukaryota; Metazoa; Chordata; Mammalia; Carnivora; Ursidae. The record is from Rfam.
ACCUGGCUGGCUCAGUUGGUACAGCAUGUGACUCUUGAUCUCAAGGUCGUGAGUUUGAGCCCCACACUGGGCA